UGGGAAAACAUAGUCACGCCGCCAUGUCCCAUCCACACGCAAGUGGCGACCUCCUUUAUGCCGCCGAUCUUCAGAGCUCCGCCCCUCUUCCUCCCGCUCCUCCUCUCACCGCCGUCCUCUCUUCUGGUAUCCCUAGUUCACUCGUCGGCAUCACCUCUGCAACCUCGACCCUCUCUUUCCACGGACAUACAGGGUCAGGAGCCAGCAAUCUCUCCACCCACACUAGCGGUCAUGGCGCUCCCGCGGCGGCUAGAGACGAACUCCUCUCCUGCGUGAAGACCCCGCUUAUUUGUGCAGCCUGCAGAAUUCUAGUUCACGCAGGGAUACAUGGUCAGGGCAACCAUUUCCGAUGAUUUUUGAAGCUGGACAACAAAAAUAUCCUUUCGGCGGUUUUUGGGGAAGCCUUCUUCAUGCCCUGAAAUUCAAUCACUUUUACCAUGAUACUGUUCACCAGUUUCGCCGACAUAUCAUGAAUAUGUGCUCUACAGCAAAGAGGGAGAGGAUGAUCCGACAAAAUAUACCCCCUGGCAGUAUCGUGCCAUCUGGACAGGACAUGCAGCUAGUUGAAAUAUCUGUUGUGGAUGCGAAAGUUCCGGUUUCAUCAAGUUUAUUAUCUUCUGAUGCCAAACCAUGCCCUCUCAAGUCGUGGAUGGAUAUCUAAGGAGAAGUUAAUAUGGUGGCCUGCGAGCUCAUGUACUGUUAACUGUAUACAGGAUCUUAUAGGUAGAUAGAUGCCAAUUAGAUAGACAAUGCAUUAAGGAUUUAAGUGAGUUUUAUCCAGUCGAGUCCGAUCUUCCCUUUGUAAUAGAUCUACAGUG
Long non-coding RNA from Lolium rigidum, 818 nucleotides. RefSeq lists it as uncharacterized. The transcript has 3 exons. The record is from RefSeq and is a predicted model, not a curated record. Lineage: Eukaryota; Viridiplantae; Streptophyta; Magnoliopsida; Poales; Poaceae.